AGUGCUUUGAACUUGAAAGUUGUCAUUAGUAGAAAAUAGUUGUCAGAUGGCUCACUUAGUCUAUAUAUUAAUAUGCUCACACAGCACUUAUGUGUUCAUGGGGUGUAUGGUACUUGGGAGAAGACCAAGAAUAGGGCUGGGCAAGCCUUUUGUAGGCACAUUGGGAACCUCUGCUUUAUUUCACCUUAGCCCAGUAAUGUAGUACAUUGGUUUCUCGGCUUUCUUG
This 226-nucleotide long non-coding RNA is filed under the name Homo sapiens (human). RNAcentral describes it as "LHRI_LNC1142.1". Lineage: Eukaryota; Metazoa; Chordata; Mammalia; Primates; Hominidae. The record is from RNAcentral.